This is a long non-coding RNA of Thrips palmi, 263 nucleotides long. RefSeq lists it as uncharacterized. The transcript has 3 exons. Lineage: Eukaryota; Metazoa; Arthropoda; Insecta; Thysanoptera; Thripidae. The record is from RefSeq and is a predicted model, not a curated record.
GGGUCGGGUCGGGUUGGCUGCGCGACGCGACGCGACGCCCACAGCGGGGCGCCCCGGGCUGGACGGAGCGGAGUCGUCGCCUCGUGUUCGCUGCAGCUGCUAGUAUGAGGCGGCCGCUCCACUCCACACGAUCCGGAUAGCCAUGUCCGUGCGACGGGUGCGCAACGACUCGCGCGAUGGCUCGCAGAAAGGAUCCGCGUUGCCGGGAGGGCUCAACUCGCCGCGCGGGGGCUCGCUCCGAGAGCGCCACUACUCCAGCUCGG